Molecule: ribosomal RNA, 615 nt
Filed under: Torulaspora delbrueckii
Lineage: Eukaryota; Fungi; Ascomycota; Saccharomycetes; Saccharomycetales; Saccharomycetaceae
Description: partial large subunit ribosomal RNA
Rfam family: Eukaryotic large subunit ribosomal RNA
Source: RNAcentral
UCACUGCGGGCUUUGCCUUAGUACGGCGAGUGAGCGGCAAAAGCUCAAAUUUGAAAUCUGGUACCUUCGGUGCCCGAGUUGUAAUUUGUAGAAGGUAACUUUGGGGCUGGUCCUUGUCUAUGUUCCUUGGAACAGGACGUCAUAGAGGGUGAGAAUCCCGUGUGGCGAGGAUCCCAGUUCUUUGUAAAGUGCUUUCGAAGAGUCGAGUUGUUUGGGAAUGCAGCUCUAAGUGGGUGGUAAAUUCCAUCUAAAGCUAAAUAUUGGCGAGAGACCGAUUGCGAACAAGUACAGUGAUGGAAAGAUGAAAAGAACUUUGAAAAGAGAGUGAAAAAGUACGUGAAAUUGUUGAAAGGGAAGGGCAUUUGAUCAGACAUGGUGUUUUGCGCCCUCUGCUCCUUGUGGGUGGGGGAAUCUCGCAGCUCACUGGGCCAGCAUCAGUUUUGGCGGCAGGAUAAAUCUGCAGGAAUGUAGCUUGCCUCGGUAAGUGUUAUAUCCUGUAGAAAUACUGCCAGCUGGGACUGAGGACUGCGACUUUACGUCAAGGAUGCUGGCCUAAGGGUUAUAUGGCCGCCCGACUGAAGAAAGGGACAAAAAAUUUCCCUCUUCCUCUUCUCC